GAUGAACGCUGGCGGCGUGCCUAAUACAUGCAAGUCGAGCGAACGGACGAGAAGCUUGCUUUUCUGAUGUUAGCGGCGGACGGGUGAGUAACACGUGGAUAACCUACCUAUAAGACUGGGAUAACUUCGGGAAACCGGAGCUAAUACCGGAUAAUAUUUUGAACCGCAUGGUUCAAAAGUGAAAGACGGUCUUGCUGUCACUUAUAGAUGGAUCCGCGCUGCAUUAGCUAGUUGGUAAGGUAACGGCUUACCAAGGCAACGAUGCAUAGCCGACCUGAGAGGAUGAUCAGCCACACUGGAACUGCGACAAGGUCCAGACGCCGACGGGAGGCAGCAGUAGGGAAUCUUCCGCAAUGGGCGAAAGCCUGACGGAGCAACGCCGCGUGAGUGAUGAAGGUCUUCGGAUCGUAAAACUCUGUUAUUAGGGAAGAACAUAUGUGUAAGUAACUGUGCACAUCUUGACGGUACCUAAUCAGAAAGCCACGGCUAACUACGUG
Molecule: ribosomal RNA, 497 nt
Filed under: uncultured bacterium
Lineage: Bacteria
Description: partial 16S ribosomal RNA
Rfam family: Bacterial small subunit ribosomal RNA
Source: RNAcentral